Molecule: ribosomal RNA, 253 nt
Filed under: uncultured bacterium
Lineage: Bacteria
Description: partial 16S ribosomal RNA
Rfam family: Bacterial small subunit ribosomal RNA
Source: RNAcentral
UACGUAGGGUGCAAGCGUUAAUCGGAAUUACUGGGCGUAAAGCGUGCGCAGGCGGUUCCAUAAGACAGAUGUGAAAUCCCCGGGCUCAACCUGGGAACUGCAUUUGUGAAUGUGGGGCUAGAGUACGGGAGAGGGGGAUGGAAUUCCGCGUGUAGCAGUGAAAAGCGUAGAUAUGCGGAGGAACACCAAUGGCGAAGGCAAUCCCCUGGACCUGUACUGACGCUCAUGCACGAAAGCGUGGGGAGCAAACAGG